UAUGGCCAUAUCAUGUCGAAACUCCGGUUCCCGAACGAUCACCGAGGUUAAGCAACAUCAGUACCUAGAUGGGUGACCGCUUGUGAAUAUCAGGUGCUUGCA
Molecule: non-coding RNA, 102 nt
Organism: Acanthosepion pharaonis
Lineage: Eukaryota; Metazoa; Mollusca; Cephalopoda; Sepiida; Sepiidae
Source: the annotation of a GenBank genome assembly